CCUACGGGAGGCAGCAGUGAGGAAUAUUGGUCAAUGGGCGGGAGCCUGAACCAGCCAAGUCGCGUGAAGGAAGAAGGUACUUAGUAUUGUAAACUUCUUUUGUCGGGGAACAAAGGCGGAGACGCGUCUCCGGAUGAGUGUACCCGAAGAAAAAGCAUCGGCUAACACCGUGCCAGCAGCCGCGGUCAUACGGAGGAAGCGAGCGUUAACCGGAUUUAUGGGGUUUAACGGGAGGGAAGGCGGGAGAUAAAGUCAGCGGUAAAAGGUCGGGGCUCAACCCCGGCCGGCCGUUGAAACUGGUUGUGUAGAGUUGGAGAGAAGUAUGAGGAAUUCGUGGUGUAGCGGUGAAAUGCAUAGAUAUCACGAAGAACUCCGAGUGCGAAGGCAGCAUACCGGCUCCAUACUGACGCUGAGGCACGAAAGCGUGGGGAUCGAACAGGAUUAGAUACCCUAGUAGUC
This 459-nucleotide ribosomal RNA is filed under the name uncultured bacterium. Its description in RNAcentral is "partial 16S ribosomal RNA". It matches the Rfam family "Bacterial small subunit ribosomal RNA", at positions 338 to 795 of the family's 1533-position model. The record is from RNAcentral.